Ailuropoda melanoleuca (giant panda) is the source of this 2355-nucleotide long non-coding RNA. RefSeq lists it as uncharacterized. The transcript has 3 exons. The record is from RefSeq and is a predicted model, not a curated record. Lineage: Eukaryota; Metazoa; Chordata; Mammalia; Carnivora; Ursidae.
CCAAGCGAAGGACUUACAUAGAGCUGGCCCUUAGUGGGCUAUACCUGUUACAUUGCAAAGGAGUCAAAGUCCAAAGGGCAGACGGUCAUCCGACUGCUGCUCAAGGUCCCACAAUCCAUCUAGUGUCCAGACCAGAGCACCCGGGCCUGCCCAGGGGAGGCCACGCGCGAGGCCCCCAGACUCUGAGGCCCGGAGACAGGUUUGUCGAGGUUUGGGGGUGGUCGGUGAGCCCGCGGCGCGUCUGAGGCCGAGGAUCAGAGCGAGCUGGACAGAAACUGAAGCACAGCACUGACCCGCGCUGGGAGGCCCGCCGGAGGAGGCCCAGUCCGGCGGAGCCUCCGGGAGCCGAGAACGUCUAGAGUCAGACACACGGGCGGGACUAACCGGGGCGCGGGGUGGAGCCUGCCGUCCGGGGCUGGGCUGGGUGCUGCCGGGUGGGCCUGCGGCCGCGGUCCUAGCUCCUCCCAGUUCCCCGCGGCCCGGCCGGCGCCCUGCUCCGAGGAGAAGCGCCUGCUUCCUUACUGGGUGGCCCAGUAAAUGUUUCUCUGACCUCACCAGUGUCUCCGCUCACAAGGAAGGGAGCAAAGCGUUGUCCCAGGAUCCCACAGCGCCUUUUCCAGAGGGCUGAAAACAGUCGGUUCUGCUGCUUUUCCUCAGAGGGCUCACGUGCUUACACUGGCCUGCCCAGAUAAUCCAGGGUGAUGUCCCUCUUCUAAGGAGAACUGGUUAGUAACCCUAGUUACAUCUGUGAAGCCCCCUUGAAGAUAGGAACCACAGGAUUCACAUCGAUGGUGGAGGUCAUGGCAGUAGUGGGGGCAAAAUUCUGCCUGCCGUAGCCCCUGAUGACCUAGGUGUGUGUCUCGUGGAGUCACCCGUUGUCACUUUCCUCCUUGUCUGAGUGGGGAUGGCCAGGGUGGUCGUGGUGGACAGUGGUCGUGGUGACUCCUGGGUGUCAUGGCUUCUGUGGGACACCUUGGCUGAUACUCAGGAGUCUUCAAAUGGUGAAGACUUCGUGGGGCCCUCUGAGAACCAGCAGAGAGCCUCCUGGCAGCUCUUACCUCUCCACAUUGAGACACUGGCCUACAUUGUGUGUUCUUCCUUCCCAAAAAGAAGACAAACACACACACUUCCCAGAGGCCCCUGCCAGCACGGGACGUAGCUUCCGCCGAUCAGAGGUGCUGCCCAAGACUUGAGCGCCCGUGUGGGCAGUGUGCGUGGGCCGCGUGAAGGAAGUGGAUCCCUGGCAAGCAAGUGUGAGAGCAGCGGCCGCGCCUGUUCUGCUGGGGUGGUUCGGGGAAGCCUCGACCCAGAGGUGGGCUGUGCUGGCAGCUGUGUUUUCGCUAGAACAGUCCCAUGGGGGGAGUGGGUGGGCCUUCUGGCUGCCGCGGUCCGGGUCUAGUACAGCACCCAAGCCUGAUUCUCUGGUCCUGCCAGCCAGCGGUUUGCAACAGGGUGCAAUUUACUAUUUGCAACUAAGUAGAUUCUGUUUGCAACAAAGUGAAAUCUGCUGUUUGUCACAGAGCAGCGUACAAGGUUCGCAGUUAAGAAUCCUGCCUGGUACGCACUCUUCGGUGGGACUGAUUCUCCCACCUCCAGUGGACACUGUUAAUGGGCUACCUGGUCUCUCUUGAAGCCCUUCUGCUUCCUUGUGCCUUGCCAACAGGAGCCUGAUUUUGUUCAGGCAAUGUGCCCAACGUUGGCGGAUGACUUGUAGUUUCAGGCUGUCAUGACCAACACAGUCCUUUUUUGAAGAUACGUGCUUUUUCACCCUCACCUGUGGUGAAUUUCUGGCCAGUGGUAAAGAAGGGCUUCUAGGACUUUUUCCUCCCUUUUCUUGUUUAGCUGUUUCUUGCCUUGAAUGGGGUUGUGUAAAGAUGAAAUGCUUGGGACCAUAGCAGCUCUCUUGUGAUUGUGAGGCAAUAAGGUUAAUGAUUAAAAAAACCCAAAGAAACAGUAAAGACAGCAAGAGGAAAGAUGGGAUGUCAGUCCUUGAAGACAUUAUCUAACCACUGAACCAACGCCAGCAACUGUUUCCCUCCAGACUCCUUGUUCCAAGAGAAAAUGGAACCCGUUGUAUUUAAGCCAUGAUUAACUGUAUAUUGUACUUAAGGCUCAAAAGCAUUCCUGAUACAGGCCUGCGCUCACAGGCGUGGUUUAGAGUUAACCCCGUUUGCGUUUUCUUCAGUGUAGAGUAUCAGAUUCCCCACUGUCCUCAAAAUCAUGCCCUCCAAAAGUGAGUCCUCAUUUUCCUCAGGGGUGAGCUUUCUCAUAGGAGAUGGCAAUCCGCCUAUGUGGCUGGCCCAGUCCCUCCCAUCCUGAUGAGUACAAACACCAGCACUGGCCACCCCCACAACU